RNAcentral lists this unclassified non-coding RNA (307 nucleotides) under uncultured fungus. Its description in RNAcentral is "sequence contains ITS1". The stretch from base 1 to 97 matches the Rfam family "5.8S ribosomal RNA", at positions 49 to 154 of the family's 154-position model. The record is from RNAcentral. Lineage: Eukaryota; Fungi.
UAAAGUGCGAUAUGUAGUGCGAUUUGCAUGAAUCUGUGAGUCAUCUAAUCUUUGAACGCAACUUGCGCCUCUCUGAGGCAUGUUUGUUCGAGGGCCGCAUUCUUUCUGCAGUACAAUUAUGUAUAAUGCGAGCUGACCUUUGUCUCUUUAAUAUUUAAUUGGGGGGACUCGGUCUAAACAAAGUCAGAAGUGACAGUGGUCAUGUCUAGCCGAGUGCUAAGCAUUCUUGGCUCUAGAUGUGUUCUACUCGUCAUCCAAUACUUUAUUCUUUGGCCUCGAAUCAAGCAAGACUACCCGCUGAACUUAA